AUUGAACGCUGGCGGCAUGCCAUACACAUGCAAGUCGAACGGCAGCACGGGAGCAAUCCUGGUGGCGAGUGGCGAACGGGUGAGUAAUAUAUCGGAACGUGCCCGGUCGUGGGGGAUAACGUAGCGAAAGCUACGCUAAUACCGCAUACGAUCUACGGAUGAAAGCGGGGGAUCGCAAGACCUCGCGCGAUUGGAGCGGCCGAUAUCAGAUUAGGUAGUUGGUGAGGUAAAGGGCUCACCAAGCCGACGAUCUGUAGCUGGUCUGAGAGGACGACCAGCCACACUGGGACUGAGACACGGCCCAGACUCCUACGGGAGGCAGCAGUGGGAAUUUUGGACAAUGGGCGCAAGCCUGAUCCAGCAAUGCCGCGUGCA
Molecule: ribosomal RNA, 375 nt
Filed under: uncultured bacterium
Lineage: Bacteria
Description: bacterial SSU rRNA
Rfam family: Bacterial small subunit ribosomal RNA
Source: RNAcentral